RNAcentral lists this long non-coding RNA (293 nucleotides) under Gossypium barbadense (sea-island cotton). Its description in RNAcentral is "long non-coding RNA (GBAR_LNC018519)". Lineage: Eukaryota; Viridiplantae; Streptophyta; Magnoliopsida; Malvales; Malvaceae. The record is from RNAcentral.
AAAUACGAAGCAAAUCAAUGUUCCAAGAACCAUUAAGAAGAACCCAAUCCCUCAAAGUGCUCUACAAAUCAAGGCUUGCAUGCGUUAGAAUGUAAGAAAAAAGAGGGCCAACCUCUGGUACCCAAGAAUCUUUCCAACCACAAAUUGUAGAGUCAUCACCUACCGACCACAUGAUAUUCUCACAAAAAAGGGGUCACACCUUAGAAAGGGAACGCCAAAGAUGAGAGCAUUGAUUUCUAUGAAUAGAAUCUGGAAGCUGAUUCUUCCAACCAUAUUUCGAACGAAGGAUACGA